AGACGACUCUCGGCAACGGAUAUCUCGGCUCUCGCAUCGAUGAAGAACGUAGCGAAAUGCGAUACUUGGUGUGAAUUGCAGAAUCCCGUGAACCAUCGAGUCUUUGAACGCAAGUUGCGCCCGAGGCCACUCGGCCGAGGGCACGCCUGCCUGGGCGUCACGCCACCCAUCGCCACCCCCCCGCGGCAUUCCCAUGCCCCGCCGGGGAGCGGAGACUGGCCGUCCGUGCCCGAGCCCUCGGCGCGCGGUCGGCAGAAAAGGAGGACACCGUGCGGCGAGACACGGCGUGUGGGGGUUGAGAGGCGACUCGUCGCCGAUCGUACGUCGCGCCCGCAUUCCGCCGCGCGCAGUGUCACCCGUGGGACCGGACUCGCCCGCAGCCGCGGGCGCUCGGACCGCGACCCCAGGUCAGGCGUGGCCACCCGCUGAAUUUAAGCAUAUCAAUAAGCGGAGGAGAAGAAACUUACGAGGAUUCCCCUAGUAACGGCGA
This 490-nucleotide ribosomal RNA is filed under the name Machilus minutiflorus. RNAcentral's name for it is "eukaryotic LSU rRNA". The stretch from base 5 to 160 matches the Rfam family "5.8S ribosomal RNA". The record is from RNAcentral. Lineage: Eukaryota; Viridiplantae; Streptophyta; Magnoliopsida; Laurales; Lauraceae.